This 849-nucleotide long non-coding RNA is filed under the name Medicago truncatula (barrel medic). The record is from RNAcentral. Lineage: Eukaryota; Viridiplantae; Streptophyta; Magnoliopsida; Fabales; Fabaceae.
GUUAACUGUGAUGAGUCUUUAACAGACCUGUAAUGAAUUGCGGGUAUGAUCGCAUUUUUAUUGAACAUCUAAGGGACUGAGUUAACUAGUUAAUCUCCCAUUUUCUUAUUAAUUUUUGUUUUUAUUUUUUGUUAUAAUCCAUUUAGUGGCUUCAGAUUUUGAUUUUAAUUAUGCUUGCACCUAAUUUAUUGUGUUUGCAAUGUUCUAUGAAGCCUAUAAUUGUGUUCCCCUCGCUAUCCACUACUGCAAAUCUAAUGCUGUAUAUGGACGUCGGGGAACAAAAUUUCAAUUUUUUUUUACCAUGUGAUUAAAUGGUUUAAGCCGUUUUGAAUUAUUGCUUCUAGAUCUAUGUUUGUUUGUUAAUUUGAUUUGAAUUGUAGAUAAGGAUGAAGCAAUAUAUAUAAUCCAACACUUGAUCUGAUUUUGUGAUGCCAAAUAUAUUUAUUAUGUUUCUGAAUCUACAUUUUGGGCUAUAAUCGUAAUGUUUUGCUUGUAGGUUAAUUUAAUUUAUAUUUUGUAAAUAUUUGAGGAGUCUUAAUUUGCACUAUCAUGUGAUGAGUUUGGAAUAAAUCUUAGGACACCUUCCUACACAACAUAUGUUGUGGAUGAGAUGAAUUAUCCUUUCUGAUGAUGUUUACAAAUUUCUCAUUACUCUGUCACUAAGUUAUUUUCUAGCUACAUUUUAAUUUUUUAUGUGUUUGGCCUUCAUAAUCCCAGUUAAGAUUGAAUUUUUUUCAAGUGAUUACACUGAUUCAUGGAAGGCCAACAAUAAGUGUUGGAAGUUUCGCUGAUAAAUGCCUUUAAUUGAUUUUACAUCAGGGUGUUUACUAGUAACUUUACCGCACACUC